GAGAGAAGGAGGACACAGACAGAGGCAUGAAGAUGGGUAGAAGGCUCCCAGGCCUCCAGAGUCUUCCAGUGAAUGAAGAAGUUGAGUCACAGAAAAUUCAAGUGGAUUGCCUGGUAUGUCUCACAGCUGGGAAAGGGAAAGAACUAGAAUAUUAACUCUAAUACUUGUUUUGUACCGCUCCAGAAAGCAGAAUCAACACCAAAUGUAUGUCAACUACUGGGAGGCAGACCUCAGCUCAACAAAAGUAAAAACUACUCUGAAUAAAACUGUCUGAAA
Long non-coding RNA from Herpailurus yagouaroundi (jaguarundi), 276 nucleotides. RefSeq lists it as uncharacterized. NCBI's taxonomy places the organism in Eukaryota, Metazoa, Chordata, Mammalia, Carnivora, Felidae. The record is from RefSeq and is a predicted model, not a curated record. The transcript has 2 exons.